UUUUUUUUUUUUUUUUUUUUUUUUUUUUUAAUUUUUAUUUAUUUAUGAUAGUCACAGAGAGAGAGAGAGGCACAGAGACACAGGCAGAGGGAGAAGCAGGCUCCAUGCACCGGGAGCCCGACGUGGGAUUCGAUCCCGGGUCUCCAGGAUCGCGCCCUGGGCCAAAGGCAGGCGCCAAACCGCUGCGCCACCCAGGGAUCCCGGUUUGUCUGUUUUUAAUGGUCAUCCUACUGGAUGUGGAGUGGCAUAUCAUUGUGGUUUUAAUUUGCAUUUCUCUAACAACUAAUGAUGUUGAGCAUCUUUUCAUUUUUUGGCCACUUGUACAUCUUCUUUGGAUGCAGAGUCUUUUUAAAAAAGCAAUUUCAUCAUGGCACUUCAGUACUAAAAAUUUUUAAUUACUCCCUAUUGUCUAAAUAAAAAAACGAAAAUUUCUCGGUGUGUCCUACAAGGCCCUUCAGGAUAUGGCCUCAGCUUUUUUUCUGUUCAACACCUUCUGUUACUCUCCUCCCCUGGGUUGAUGUUUUUGCCAUAUUGAACUGAGGAGAGGUAGGGGGACUGUACUUUUUGUAUCCUUUUUUGUUGACUCGGUCUCCAGUAAUGGAGGAUGCUUAACCAAAGUUAAGAGUCAUCUGAGCAGUGAAGUGAUGAGGUGGGAUCAGGACACCUGCAAGCCCUGCUGGUGUUUCCUUUCUUACUCUUAAUCUCUUGGCAGCACUCACUUUGUCCUGAUCAAACCAUGUGAGUGCCACAUAGGACUAUAUUUAUGUCUCUAGACCUUACUGAAUGGUUCUUGCUUAGGCCAUCCUGGACGUUGUGUGUUUCUUUGUGUCACUACACAUCCUGGGACUCUACAACCCAGGAGGAGGCAGGUGGGCAGAGGAAUAGUGGCCAGUUUUCUCUGUAGGCCCUUUCCUCUCUUGUCUUGCCUGCAAAGGGCUGGAAAGUCAGCUUCUAUUGUGAUUAAGUUAUAAUUUAAGGCAGUGAACAUGUGCUCUGCUGGCGGCUAUAAAGAUUCAAAUCAUAAAGUUUUACAGUGGAACGGUUUCUGUAAAAGCAUCGUUAGGAAGUGGGAACCAUGCCUUUAAUUCUUAUGACAUAUGGGACUGCCUGGUUUGUUUUGGUUGCAGUGGAGUUUAGUAGGGUGAUGGUCUGACUAAUUAAAGUCAGGCCUUUUUCCUCACCGCAGUGCUGUGCCCUGUCAGAGGACAAUGUAGUAGGGUGGAACCUUCUCUCUACCUCUGUUCCUAUCUCAAGUUUAUCAGGGACAAAGAACCCUUAGAAAGCAAAAGCAACCCUUCAAUAACUGAGUGUUUUAGAAAUCUCCUCCAUCCUACCAGGCUUCAUUCACUGGGGAGUCCAUGUCUUCCUCUGUCCCUCACUGGCCAAGGGGCAAACCUAGACAAUGAACCAAGCUUAAUGUAAGUUGAUUAUCUCAUUCAGGGAGCUCAGCUGAGGAGAUAGAUGGGCCUUGUAACUGUCAGUGGUAGAAACAAAGAGAAUAGUAGUUGAGUAGCUCUCUUAACCAACUUUCACUUAACAUCCUUGGCUGGUUAACCAUCGCUCUCUAUGCCCUGUGUAAAAUGUACUAGUGCCUGUAGUGUCCUCUCAGGUGAUGGUUACCUUUGAUGUUAUUCUUGAACAAUAUGCCAUCUCACUGCUCCUCCCACCAGCUGAUUUAUAUGCUAACCAAGACCCAGCUAGACUUGGCCCUAAGCCUGUUUAUGCCAGUGGUACCUGCUAUUACAACUGCCCAAUUUCAUUAAAUAUUUUGUAAACUCAACAAUAAAAUUGGAGAGGUGUUUUUUGCUGUUGUUUUAUGAAAGCCAAGUUGAACACGAAAGUGAGUUUUUAAAAUAAUGGCUGCUGAAAGAGCCGUGAGUAAUACUGAUUGAGGCAAAACAUCACAACGAUCUGAGAAUCUGCACUCAAAUUUCUCUAAGUUCUUGUUCUGCUAUAAAAAAAUCUAAAACCAAGAAUUGUAGACAAUGUAUUAUGGGUGUGAUUUAUGCAGGAGAGAUCUGGAAAGCCAGUCAGCGGACACAUUCCUUGGCUUUACAUCAAAAAAUUGGAGAAUGAAUCUACAUUUGUAUAUUUUAAGUUAAAAUAAAAUGUUUGAGGUAAGUAUAUAUCUUUUAAAGUGAUAUUCUGCUUUACAGGACUUUUUGAUAAUCAACCAGUGCGUUGGAUGAGAGGGUUUCCCUGUAAUAAGAUUUAUCAUUUAUUGGUAUCAUUAUUGAGUGUGUUAAAUCUUUGAGGAGGAAGGCAUUGCUAUCCCCAUUUUACAAGUUAGGAAACUGAGGCUUAGAAUAGUUCAGUUGUGCUAGUUCACACAGAGAGGGUGACCACUUCAGGUCCAUUAGCUAAAGAACCAAGAAUAAAUGAAAAGUCUACUGUGGAAUACAGGACCACAUGGAUAUUUGUGUUUGAUCAAAAAAGUAAUUAUAAGUAGAAGCCAGUAGACUGCUGGAAAUAUGCGUUGGUGUCAACACUUUGGAAAAAUGUAACAUUAUCUUCAUUUAUUCAAUCAAUAACUACUGAGUUGCCUACUCUGUGCCAAGCACUGUUCUAUAUUUUGGGGGUAUGGUAAUGAACAGAAUAGACUGGAAACACUGACCUCAUGCAUUGUAGCUUACAUUCUUGUAGAGCUGAACAUGUAUAUAUCAUAUCCCCUAGCACUUCCACCCCUUGGUAUACUCCCUAGAGAAACUCUUGCUCACAUACUCCAAAAGAUGUGUGUACAAGAAUGUUCACAGCAGAAUUGUUCAUAAUAGCAACAAAACAAGGCCUGUAAAUAACCUAUGUGUCCAUUAACAAGAGAAUGGAUUAACAGAUUGUGGUGUAUUUAUAUAACUGAAUACUAUAAAGAGGUGAAAAUGAAAGCACUAUAACCAUAUGAGUCAACAUAGAGAACUCUUAGAAAUAUAAUAUUGAGGGAUGCCUGCAGGGGCUCAGUGGUUGAGUGUCUGUCUUAGUCUUAGGCUGUGAUCCCAGGGUCCUGCGAUCGAGUCCCACACCGGGCUCCCUGCAAGGAACCUGCUUCUCCCUCUGCUUAUGUCUCUACCUCUCUCUGUGUGUCUCUAAUGAAUAAAUAAAUAAAAUCUUUAAAAAUAUAUAUAAUAUUGAGUAAAACAAAAUAAAAACAGUUGCAAAAGAACACACACAAGUCUGGGAAGGGAUAAGAGAGGUAGGGAGAUGGGAUCCAGAAGAUGCACAUAACUAUUAGUGGUUAUGUUCUAUUUAAGUUUGGAUCAUGGUUCACAAAUGUUCAUUUUAUUAUUAUGUUUCAUAUCUUCAGGUCAUAUCUUCAUAUCAUAUAGGAUAUAUCUGUAUAAUAUAUCUUUGUACCAUACAAUUCAUAUAAUAUUUAAUAAAAUGUGAGUGCCUGAACAAAGAAGAAAAAGUAGAAAAGUAUAGAGAUUAAAGUCAAAGGUCUUGGAGCACCUAGCUGGUGCUCAGUCAGUAGAGCAUGUGACUCUUGAUCUUGGGGUCAUAAUUUCAAGCCCAAUGUUGGACACAGAGCUUACUUCCAAAAAAGAAAAA
This 3540-nucleotide long non-coding RNA is filed under the name Canis lupus familiaris (dog). RNAcentral describes it as "lncRNA (ENSCAFG00845027372.1)". Lineage: Eukaryota; Metazoa; Chordata; Mammalia; Carnivora; Canidae. The record is from RNAcentral.